Molecule: ribosomal RNA, 514 nt
Filed under: Penicillium citrinum
Lineage: Eukaryota; Fungi; Ascomycota; Eurotiomycetes; Eurotiales; Aspergillaceae
Description: eukaryotic LSU rRNA
Rfam family: Eukaryotic large subunit ribosomal RNA
Source: RNAcentral
UUGACCUCGGAUCAGGUAGGGAUACCCGCUGAACUUAAGCAUAUCAAUAAGCGGAGGAAAAGAAACCAACCGGGAUUGCCCUAGUAACGGCGAGUGAAGCGGCAAGAGCUCAAAUUUGAAAGCUGGCCCCCUCGGGGUCCGCAUUGUAAUUUGCAGAGGAUGCUUCGGGAACGGCCCCCAUCUAAGUGCCCUGGAACGGGCCGUCAUAGAGGGUGAGAAUCCCGUCUGGGAUGGGGUGGCCGCGCCCGUGUGAAGCUCCUUCGACGAGUCGAGUUGUUUGGGAAUGCAGCUCUAAUUGGGUGGUAAAUUUCAUCUAAAGCUAAAUAUUGGCCGGAGACCGAUAGCGCACAAGUAGAGUGAUCGAAAGAUGAAAAGCACUUUGAAAAGAGAGUUAAACAGCACGUGAAAUUGUUGAAAGGGAAGCGCUUGCGACCAGACUCGCCCGCGGGGUUCAGCCGGCACUCGUGCCGGUGUACUUCCCCGCGGGCGGGCCAGCGUCGGUUUGGGCGGCCGG